This 474-nucleotide RNase MRP RNA is filed under the name Xylona heveae TC161. RNAcentral describes it as "RNase MRP". It matches the Rfam family "RNase MRP". From Rfam's summary of the family: RNase MRP is an enzymatically active ribonucleoprotein with two distinct roles in eukaryotes. In mitochondria it plays a direct role in the initiation of mitochondrial DNA replication. Lineage: Eukaryota; Fungi; Ascomycota; Xylonomycetes; Xylonales; Xylonaceae. The record is from Rfam by way of RNAcentral.
UCCUCGCUCAAAGAAUCGCAGUCGAAGCUUACAAACGGAGACAUCUUUGGAUGUUUCAGCUGAAAAGCCAUUUGCUUUGGGAGAAAGUCCCCGGACAUCCUGCAUAUUUGCAGGCCUGCGGAAACGCGUCGCCAUAGAAGCAUGCGGCUACCUCUCGUCUUCUCUCUUGGUUUCUUCGAGCUCCAGCACUGCUCGACUUCAAUUGUCGCUAGCUAGGUCUCUGAUUGCAGGUGGCAGUGACCAUAUGGAUGAAGAUACGAGUCCGCGCUCUGCCAUUACUGCUGUCAUCUGGCUUGACUCUGCGGCUCUUGGAUAAGGUGCUGGUUACAAUCCGAGGUUUACUGAGGGGUUCAGGGGACGUUGAGAAUACUUUCGUCGCGAUCGAUAGUAAUGCGAUUGCCCGUCGUCUCCCUUGGGGUGGAAACAUGCCAUAGGAACGGGGGUAACUCGAUGGGGCUUAUUCUUGAGGCGAGG